This is a long non-coding RNA of Triticum dicoccoides, 3048 nucleotides long. RefSeq lists it as uncharacterized. The record is from RefSeq and is a predicted model, not a curated record. Lineage: Eukaryota; Viridiplantae; Streptophyta; Magnoliopsida; Poales; Poaceae. The transcript is spliced from 5 exons.
AUCAUACGUCGCCGCUCCUCCCUUCCCCUCCUCGCGCCGUCCCUCUCCCCACGCCUGCAAGGAUGGCCAUCUUCUCCCGCCGCCUCCUCCCUCCCUCCAGUGCCACCGCGCUGUGGCUUCCCCCUUCCUCCUAGCAUCGUUGACGCACCCCAUGCCAAGGUCCCAGCCGAACGGCGGCAACUAUUUUCGGCGUCAUUCCUCGCACGCCUGAGAGAACUGCUCGUCGCCGAGUCCGUCCCACUGCAAGCAUGGCAGCACUGCGAUCUACUCGCUCCUCCCUCGCCGUAGGCAGGCAGAUGGUCAGGAACCUUAAUCCCUAGGACUACUCCCGAACAAGCAUUCAGAUUCUUGAAGAUGUCUCCACACAUUCUAUUUCCAAUACGUAGAACAUUAGAACGCAAGCAUAUGCUUUCUGGAUGUCUCAGGUAAUGUGUCAAGCUUUUGGACUGCUAUGUUGCCUGAUAGUUCUAGCCAAUUGGGUUUUCAUGUGCUCGCUUGUGAGAUGAAUGAAUGGUAAAAGAUCAAAAGUUGUAUGAUUCUACUAAUCCUCCCUUAUAAAUCAUAGAUUUGUUUAAAUUUAGUUUGCAGCUUGAGGAUGAGGUAUGUGCUUUGAUUUUUGGACCUCUUGCAGCUUGAGGACGAGGUAUGUGCCCCUCCCCUGGUUACUUGCCAGUAACCAUGUCGGAUUCAUUACAAUUAUUAACCCAUUUGUAGGAAGAGAUAGAUCUGCUCUGGUGGUGGGAGACAAACAAUGCCUUUUGGUGCUAUUUUCUAAAUAAGAUAUAUGCAUGUCUUCACACCUCCAUUGCUGUUGCGCCCAUAACCCAAGCUCCGCUGCUGCCACAUUGUUGGUCCGCGAAGAGAACGCAAACGGUAUAGCUCUGAAAUCCACGACAGACAUUGCUCUCAUUCUGUUGCUAUUGUUGUGGAACGCCGAGGACGCAUGCACCACGGCCGCCGGUUCUCCCAAUCAGGGGGCGUGAAAUCUGCCAUCAGUAUGUUUUGUGUGUGAUUCGAAGUUUGGCAACCGGCAUGAUGCGAGAAAAAACAACAGUGGAUACCUCCCAUCAAUUGUUCAUAGUUGGUUUGUUACUUCAGACUCACGGGUGAAUCCACAGGUAAUGUUUGCACCAAUAAAACUGCAACCUUCAUUGCAGGACAACUUCUAACUGAAUCUCAUGGAUUUGUCUUCACAUAAUGUUCUCUUAGUCGGAUUGUGGCAUGCAGCAAGGUGAGCAACCAAUCAUCAUCGUGAGAUUUCUAUUCUGAAUGCUGAAGAAAGCUACUAAGCAAGUUCAUGUAUGUACAACAGUUCUAAUUGCUGCUUUUAGAGAAGUCCCAGUUGUACGAAGCUACACUGUGAAUUCUCAUCUUACUAAAUUUUUCAUUCAACUUCUCCAUUUUGGACUGUAUAUUUUCAUUACUAUCUCUUCUACCUUAUUUUAGCGAUUUUAAUCAGCUGCGAUGGCGUUCAACAACUCUUUAUGUUUUUAGUCUUUUUAUUUACUAGCAUUGUGUUAUGCUUUCAGAUUCAAAGAACCACAGACGCACUGUGAGACUAUUAUGCCCAGAGUUAGCCAAGAGCCUAAGACAUACUAAAAACAUUUUUUAGAUAAGAUAGUUAUGAAAAAAGAGACUUUGUUAAUCGGUACUGAAAUGCAUAACAUUGAUGCUAGAAUCUUAUUUUUCGCUGUAUAUAAUAUCAACAACAUGAUUUUUUCCGGGUCAUAGAUUGCUUGGAAAAAUGCAACAUUGAUAUGCUAGAAUCCUGAGGAGAUUAUGGCCGGUGAUGGAGAUUAUUUUGUAUGCUCAUGGUGCCAUGGCGACUGCACGGCGGAGGGCUGCACGCUUGACUUCGACAUCAGCGUCUUCAACAAGGAGAAGAUCUCCCUCGCCAGCCAUGACGAGUAUAUGGUGGCGGGCGGGUGCAACCUCUUCCCAUUGCUCCCGGAGGCGUCAAGGGUGUCAUGUCCUUUGUCGUGAUCGGAUGGGGCUCCCAGGUUCAGUCCCAUCUUCGCUUUGCUCCCUCAUUGCGCAGUUUCUCUCCUAUCUGUAGAGAUAUGUCUCUCUACUGCUAUUCUACUGAAUAUUAUUCUUGGAGUAUCAUAGCCAAUUGCUUUACUGGUGAACAUGUGUAGGAGGAUUUGUGGUUUAGCGUUAUUAGACCUCUGUGAAUACAUGUAUAGGAGGAUUCUUGGAGCUUUGUACAAUCAGUAAGGCCAUCAAAGCUAAUUCCUUUACUGGUGAACAUGUAUAGGAGGAUUCAUUAUUAGACCUCUCUACAUAACUACAUAUACAUGUUUGCUCUGUGCUACAAAAAAAGACUCUCCUUUGGUGGUGAGAAUAAAAAGGAAUAAAUUUACUAUUCGGAAUAAAAUUUAAUUGGGUGAACUGUAGAAGCUGACUUUGUUAGAGAAAGGUUGAGAACCCACCCUUUCUUUCUUGUAGGAUUGAGAAGAUUUUGAAUUUAGAACCUUUUAGAUGUACAAAAAGAAAGCAGAUUGUGCUUGUAGAUAAUGAUGGUGAGAAGAUCAAAUUUAUGGUAUGGGGAGAGUGGUUUAACAGAUUGUACUUGUACAGAAAGAGAGCAGAUUGUGUUUCUUUUCAGAAGAUAACUUUUGCCAGCCAUUGUGUUGCUUGUAAGCAGAAUACUUAUUGAUUUAGUUCUCUCACCACUGAUUCUCCUGAAGCUGUAAUUUGUAUUGAGUUAUAUAUAUUGUGUCAAUCCUAAUAUUAGUAUAUGCAACCUAACACGAUGAUACCAACGGUGUUACAUGUCAUAAUAUGUUUAGUUCCUUAGUUCUGUUUAUUUGCAUCUUCUACUUUCAGGCCAUGGACACAUGCAACAUAUGCAGAACCAAAAACUAGGUGUAAUCUGAUGUUCCCUUUGUAGAACCUGCUUUGAGAAAAUAGUACCCAAUGUGUUCAUGCUUUCCACUCUCUUUUGGUGCUUAUUUUGUGAUUCUGCAUAAAGGGAAACUGUUUCCGGAUCCCCCUCCCUGCACCGCACUCAUCAAGCACAUUUGAAACCAUUAUAUUGUAGAAUAC